AUGAACGCUGGCGGCGUGCCUAAUCCCUGCCAGUCGAGCGAACAGACGAGGAGCUUGCUCCUCUGACGUUAGCGGCGGACGGGUGAGUAACACGUGGUUAACCUACCUAUAAGACUGGGAUAACUUCGGGAAACCGGAGCUAAUACCGGAUAAUAUAUUGAACCGCAUGGUUCAAUAGUGAAAGACGGUUUUGCUGUCACUUAUAGAUGGAUCCGCGCCGCAUUAGCUAGUUGGUAAGGUAACGGCUUACCAAGGCAACGAUGCGUAGCCGACCUGAGAGGGUGAUAGGCCACACGGGAAGUGAGACGCGGUCCAGACUCCUACGGGAGGCAGCAGUAGGGAAUCUUCCGCAAUGGGCGAAAGCCUGACGGAGCAACGCCGCGUGAGUGAUGAAGGUCUUCGGAUCGUAAAACUCUGUUAUUAGGGAAGAACAAAUGUGUAAGUAACUAUGCACGUCUUGACGGUACCUAAUCAGAAAGCCACGGCUAACUACGUG
Molecule: ribosomal RNA, 496 nt
Filed under: uncultured bacterium
Lineage: Bacteria
Description: partial 16S ribosomal RNA
Rfam family: Bacterial small subunit ribosomal RNA
Source: RNAcentral